Molecule: ribosomal RNA, 501 nt
Filed under: uncultured bacterium
Lineage: Bacteria
Description: partial 16S ribosomal RNA
Rfam family: Bacterial small subunit ribosomal RNA
Source: RNAcentral
AUUGAACGCUGGCGGAAUGCUUUACACAUGCAAGUCGAACGGCAGCACGGGUGCUUGCACCAGGUGGCGAGUGGCGAACGGGUGAGUAAUAUAUCGGAACGUAUCCAAUAAUGGGGGAUAACUAGCCGAAAGGUUAGCUAAUACCGCAUACGCCCUGAGGGGGAAAGCUGGGGAUCGUAAGACCUAGCGUUGAUGGAGCGGCCGAUAUCUGAUUAGCUAGUUGGUGGGGUAAGAGCCUACCAAGGCGACGAUCAGUGGCUGGUCUGAGAGGACGACGAGCCACACUGGAACUGAGACACGGUCCGGACUCCUACGGGAGGCAGCAGUGGGGAAUUUUGGACAAUGGGGGCAACCCUGAUCCAGCAAUGCCGCGUGAGUGAAGAAGGCCUUCGGGUUGUAAAGCUCUUUUGUCAGGGAGGAAACACCGGCUCUAACACAGUCCGGGAAUGACGGUACCUGAAGAAUAAGCACCGGCUAACUACGUGCCAGCAGCCGCCGUAA